CAUGAUCUUAAGGCUUGUAAGAUCAAGCCCCAGCAUGGAGCCUGCUUAAGAUUCUCUCUCCCCCUCUCCCUCUGUUUCUCCCCACUCUCUCUCUCUCUCUCUCUCUCUCUCUCUCUCUCUCUCUCUCUCAGAAGAAAGAAAAGUCCAUUUUUGUAGGCAAGAAACAAUUGAAUAUUGGCAAUUUUAAAUGGUGCAACCUGAUAAUAACACAGGCCAUUGAGAUCUGAGAUGAGUUUCAGUGCCGUCAGGCAGAGGGCUUGCAGAGGCAUUACAGUCACAGCAUGGCCUUGGCUACCUGUGCUAAAUGAAAGUGGGAAAAAAAACAAGGAAAACAAAAACAAUGAAUGAUGGCAACCUAUCCUAUUUCUCAUUUCAGUUCUUAUGAACUCUAAUUUGGUUUCAUCAUUUCUGGUUUAGGUAAAGGGCAGAUUAUAGAAAUAUAAAUUAUAGAGGAUGGGCUGUUCACAGGCAUUUGUAUUCCUACAGAAGUAUACGUGCAUUUGAAGCUUCAGAAGACCUGGGUUCUCCAUCACAUGCCCAUUUCUUAUUUUUCAAGCACUCAGCAGUGUCUCCUACUAUGUAAACCUCGGAAAUCCUCCCAGAUGAUUUUAACACACCAUCUUCUUUUUCUCAGUAACAGAAGUACAAGACGGAUGAUGUCUUCAUUUCAUCUUUCCUCCAAUCUACUAUGGAAACCUGCCAUACCUACUAUCUCACCCAGCAUUUAUUCCUGACAAUCAAGGCCAAAUUGAAAAGGUUGGUUCCUGCUCACUUGGGAAAGGAGA
Molecule: long non-coding RNA, 785 nt
Filed under: Vulpes vulpes (red fox)
Lineage: Eukaryota; Metazoa; Chordata; Mammalia; Carnivora; Canidae
Description: lncRNA (ENSVVUG00000015180.1)
Source: RNAcentral